This 209-nucleotide ribosomal RNA is filed under the name uncultured bacterium. RNAcentral describes it as "partial 16S ribosomal RNA". It matches the Rfam family "Bacterial small subunit ribosomal RNA", at positions 524 to 732 of the family's 1533-position model. The record is from RNAcentral.
UACAGAGGGUGCGAGCGUUAAUCGGAAUUACUGGGCGUAAAGCGUGCGUAGACGGUUAUUUAAGUCGGGUGUGAAAGCCCCGGGCUCAACCUGGGAAUUGCAUUCGAGACUGAAUAGCUAGGGUACGGUAGAGGGAAGCGGAAUUUCCGGUGUAGCGGUGAAAUGCGUAGAUAUCGGAAGGAACAUCAGUGGCGAAAGCGGCUUCCUGG